Molecule: transfer RNA, 85 nt
Filed under: Caldifarciminota bacterium
Lineage: Bacteria; Pseudomonadati; Caldifarciminota
Description: tRNA-Leu
Rfam family: tRNA
About the family: Transfer RNA (tRNA) molecules are approximately 80 nucleotides in length. Their secondary structure includes four short double-helical elements and three loops (D, anti-codon, and T loops).
Source: RNAcentral
GCCGAAGUGGUGGAACUGGUAGACGCGGCGGACUCAAAAUCCGCUGGGGUUUGUCCCCGUGGGGGUUCGACUCCCCCCUUCGGCA